CACCAAUAUACCAAGAGCACCAAGAAGAGAUGCGGCCAAAGCCAAAUACAUCCUUGUGUGAGCUUCGAACAAGUUCGAGAGAUGCAAGAUCACUGUAUCACCUCAAAUAAAAGCAGAGGCUGGAGAAAAAUUGCUGUUCCGUGAUGUUUAGAGAAGUGUCAACCUGUGGAUUAAGAUGCGAGCCGACAGAAUUCUGGCUUACGCGGUCUGCAAGCUCAUUCAUCCACCACACCUUAAAAGUUGCUUUUGUCAGAGGCUCUAUAAAAGGGAAUUAAUUUGGGGAUUAAGGAAAUCGGAGAAGGGAAGAGAACUACCUCUGGUGAAUGCUCUUUAACCCAGACUUUCAGCACCUGACUGGCUACAACAAAGGGUAAUGGUGGUGAUGACGGAUGCUGCUGCUGUCUCUCUGUGUGGCGCACAGUCUGCGCUGCGCCUGUUUUAGUGUCACGGUUCUCAGAGGCUCAGACUGGCUGCUACAUUACCCCCAAAUCUCAAUCAAAGCCCACUGUCAGACCCCAGGCAAACAUAGGAGUGUUUCAUGUGUUUGUAGUGGUCUGAAAAAUUGGUCGGUCAUUCCAGUGGAUACAUAGAGUUAUGAUUACAGGUGUCAGACUAAUGUUUUUCUGUCACACUUCAAAGUGCAAUUUAUAUUUAAAAUUUAGUUUCACACAUAAAUUCACAAGACAGUAAAAUGAUAAUUAUCAUAAUUCGAGAAUGCAUUAAACUGAAUUGAU
Molecule: long non-coding RNA, 734 nt
Organism: Cyprinus carpio (common carp)
Lineage: Eukaryota; Metazoa; Chordata; Actinopteri; Cypriniformes; Cyprinidae
Exons: 3
Source: RefSeq, a predicted model, not a curated record